UCGUCACACUAUCAUUAACUGAAUCCAUAGGUUAAUGAGGCGAACCGGGGGAACUGAAACAUCUAAGUACCCCGAGGAAAAGAAAUCAACCGAGAUUCCCCCAGUAGCGGCGAGCGAACGGGGAGGAGCCCAGAGCCUGAAUCAGCAUGUGUGUUAGUGGAAGCGUCUGGAAAGGCGCGCGAUACAGGGUGACAGCCCCGUACACAAAAGCGCAUGUGCUGUGAGCUCGAUGAGUAGGGCGGGACACGUGGUAUCCUGUCUGAAUAUGGGGGGACCAUCCUCCAAGGCUAAAUACUCCUGACUGACCGAUAGUGAACCAGUACCGUGAGGGAAAGGCGAAAAGAACCCCGGCGAGGGGAGUGAAAAAGAACCUGAAACCGUGUACGUACAAGCAGUGGGAGCCCCACCACUAAGCCAGUGGUGAACUCCACAUACGCAUCCUUUGCUGAGGAUACGGUUAACGGAGCGAAAGCGACGUUCAACCUCAAAAGAAGCAGAGGGGGCUUAGUGGUGGGGUGACUGCGUACCUUUUGUAUAAUGGGUCAGCGACUUAUAUUCUGUAGCAAGGUUAACCGUAUAGGGGAGCCGGAGGGAAACCGAGUCUUAACCGGGCGUUAAGUUGCAGGGUAUAGACCCGAAACCCGGUGAUCUAGCCAUGGGCAGGUUGAAGGUUGGGUAACACUAACUGGAGGACCGAACCGACUAAUGUUGAAAAAUUAGCGGAUGACCUGUGGCUGGGGGUGAAAGGCCAAUCAAACCGGGAGAUAGCUGGUUCUCCCCGAAAGCUAUUUAGGUAGCGCCUCGUGAAUUCAUCUCCGGGGGUAGAGCACUGUUUCGGCUAGGGGGCCAUCCCGGCUUACCAACCCGAUGCAAACUGCGAAUACCGGAGAAUGUUAUCACGGGAGACACACGGCGGGUGCUAACGUCCGUCGUGAAGAGGGAAACAACCCAGACCGCCAGCUAAGGUCCCAAAGUCAUGGUUAAGUGGGAAACGAUGUGGGAAGGCCCAGACAGCCAGGAUGUUGGCUUAGAAGCAGCCAUCAUUUAAAGAAAGCGUAAUAGCUCACUGGUCGAGUCGGCCUGCGCGGAAGAUGUAACGGGGCUAAACCAUGCACCGAAGCUGCGGCAGCGAACGUAUCACUUAAAGCGAUUCAGCGGAUGACGAUUGACGGAGCGAAGCGACGUCAAAGCGUAUACAAAGUCGAGUCGGUUUAAGGAUACGUUCGUUGGGUAGGGGAGCGUUCUGUAAGCCUGCGAAGGUGGCCUGUGAGGGUUGCUGGAGGUAUCAGAAGUGCGAAUGCUGACAUAAGUAACGAUAAAGCGGGUGAAAAGCCCGCUCGCCGGAAGACCAAGGGUUCCUGUCCAACGUUAAUCGGGGCAGGGUGAGUCGACCCCUAAGGCGAGGCCGAAAGGCGUAGUCGAUGGGAAACGGGUUAAUAUUCCCGUACUUGGUGUUACUGCGAAGGGGGGACGGAGAAGGCUAUGUUGGCCGGGCGACGGUUGUCCCGGUUUAAGCGUGUAGGUGUGUGUUCCAGGUAAAUCCGGUUCACUUUAACACUGAGGCGUGACGACGAGGCACUACGGUGCUGAAGCAACAAAUGCCCUGCUUCCAGGAAAAGCCUCUAAGCAUCAGGUAACAUCAAAUCGUACCCCAAACCGACACAGGUGGUCAGGUAGAGAAUACCAAGGCGCUUGAGAGAACUCGGGUGAAGGAACUAGGCAAAAUGGUGCCGUAACUUCGGGAGAAGGCACGCUGACAUGUAGGUGAAGUGAUUUACUCAUGGAGCUGAAGUCAGUCGAAGAUACCAGCUGGCUGCAACUGUUUAUUAAAAACACAGCACUGUGCAAACACGAAAGUGGACGUAUACGGUGUGACGCCUGCCCGGUGCCGGAAGGUUAAUUGAUGGGGUCAGCGCAAGCGAAGCUCCUGAUCGAAGCCCCGGUAAACGGCGGCCGUAACUAUAACGGUCCUAAGGUAGCGAAAUUCCUUGUCGGGUAAGUUCCGACCUGCACGAAUGGCGUAAUGAUGGCCAGGCUGUCUCCACCCGAGACUCAGUGAAAUUGAACUCGCUGUGAAGAUGCAGUGUACCCGCGGCAAGACGGAAAGACCCCGUGAACCUUUACUAUAGCUUGACACUGAACAUUGAGCCUUGAUGUGUAGGAUAGGUGGGAGGCUUUGAAGUGUGGACGCCAGUCUGCAUGGAGCCGACCUUGAAAUACCACCCUUUAAUGUUUGAUGUUCUAACGUGGACCCGUAA
RNAcentral lists this ribosomal RNA (2258 nucleotides) under Salmonella enterica. RNAcentral's name for it is "partial 23S ribosomal RNA". It matches the Rfam family "Bacterial large subunit ribosomal RNA", at positions 140 to 2238 of the family's 2925-position model. The record is from RNAcentral. Lineage: Bacteria; Pseudomonadati; Pseudomonadota; Gammaproteobacteria; Enterobacterales; Enterobacteriaceae.